GACGAACGCUGGCGGCGUGCCUAAUACAUGCAAGUAGAACGCUGAAGGAGGAGCUUGCUUCUCCGGAUGAGUUGCGAACGGGUGAGUAACGCGUAGGUAACCUGCCUGGUAGCGGGGGAUAACUAUUGGAAACGAUAGCUAAUACCGCAUAAGAGUAGAUGUUGCAUGACAUUUGCUUAAAAGGUGCAAUUGCAUCACUACCAGAUGGACCUGCGUUGUAUUAGCUAGUUGGUGGGGUAACGGCUUACCAAGGCGACGAUACAUAGCCGACCUGAGAGGGUGAUCGGCCACACUGGGACUGAGACACGGCCCAGACUCCUACGGGAGGCAGCAGUAGGGAAUCUUCGGCAAUAGACGGAAGUCUGACCGAGCAACGCCGCGUGAGUGAAGAAGGUUUUCGGAUCGUAAAGCUCUGUUGUAAGAGAAGAACGAGUGUGAGAGUGGAAAGUUCACACUGUGACGGUAUCUUACCAGAAAGGGACGGCUAACUACGUG
RNAcentral lists this ribosomal RNA (495 nucleotides) under uncultured bacterium. Its description in RNAcentral is "partial 16S ribosomal RNA". It matches the Rfam family "Bacterial small subunit ribosomal RNA", at positions 28 to 507 of the family's 1533-position model. The record is from RNAcentral.